Molecule: ribosomal RNA, 253 nt
Filed under: uncultured bacterium
Lineage: Bacteria
Description: partial 16S ribosomal RNA
Rfam family: Bacterial small subunit ribosomal RNA
Source: RNAcentral
UACAGAGGUCCCGAGCGUUGUUCGGAUUCACUGGGCGUAAAGGGUGCGCAGGUGGGUUGGCAAGUUUGAUGUGAAAGCCCCGGGCUUAACCCGGGAAUGGCAUUGAAUACUGCUGAUCUGGAGGAUCGGAGGGGGGACUGGAAUUCUUGGUGUAGCAGUGAAAUGCGUAGAUAUCAAGAGGAACACCAGUGGCGAAGGCGAGUCCCUGGACGAUACCUGACACUGAGGCACGAAAGCCAAGGGAGCAAACAGG